Molecule: unclassified non-coding RNA, 392 nt
Filed under: soil metagenome
Description: partial contains 5.8S ribosomal RNA, internal transcribed spacer 2, and large subunit ribosomal RNA
Rfam family: 5.8S ribosomal RNA (bases 1-122)
Source: RNAcentral
GAUGAAGAACGUAGCGAAAUGCGAUACUUGGUGUGAAUUGCAGAAUCCCGUGAACCAUCGAGUCUUUGAACGCAAGUUGCGCCCGAAGCCAUUAGGCCGAGGGCACCCCUGCCUGGGCGUCACACGUCGUUGCCCCCCCCAUCUACUCCUUCGGGAUUGCGGGGGGCGGAUGAUGGCCUCCCGUGCGCCUCGCCGCGCGGUUGGCAUAAAUGCCAAGUCCUCGGCGACGCACGCCACGACAAUCGGUGGUUGCGAAACCUCGGUUGCCCGUCGUGUGCGGUCGUCGCGCAUCGAGGGCUCGAAAAAAUUGCCGAGUUCCGGCUCGGCUUUCAACGCGACCCCAGGUCAGGCGGGGUUACCCGCUGAAUUUAAGCAUAUCAAUAAGCGGAGGA